CAUGCAGUCGAGCGACUGAUUAGAAGCUUGCUUCUAUGACGUUAGCGGCGGACGGGUGAGUAACACGUGGGCAACCUGCCUGUAAGACUGGGAUAACUUCGGGAAACCGAAGCUAAUACCGGAUAGGAUCUUCUCCUUCAUGGGAGAUGAUUGAAAGAUGGUUUCGGCUAUCACUUACAGAUGGGCCCGCGGUGCAUUAGCUAGUUGGUGAGGUAACGGCUCACCAAGGCAACGAUGCAUAGCCGACCUGAGAGGGUGAUCGGCCACACUGGGACUGAGACACGGCCCAGACUCCUACGGGAGGCAGCAGUAGGGAAUCUUCCGCAAUGGACGAAAGUCUGACGGAGCAACGCCGCGUGAGUGAUGAAGGCUUUCGGGUCGUAAAACUCUGUUGUUAGGGAAGAACAAGUACGAGAGUAACUGCUCGUACCUUGACGGUACCUAACCAGAAAGCCACGGCUAACUACGUGCCAGCAGCCGCGGUAAUACGUAGGUGGCAAGCGUUAUCCGGAAUUAUUGGGCGUAAAGCGCGCGCAGGCGGUUUCUUAAGUCUGAUGUGAAAGCCCACGGCUCAACCGCGGAGGGUCAUUGGAAACUGGGGAACUUGAGUGCAGAAGAGAAAAGCGGAAUUCCACGUGUAGCGGUGAAAUGCGUAGAGAUGUGGAGGAACACCAGUGGCGAAGGCGGCUUUUUGGUCUGUAAACUGACGCUGAGGCGCGAAAGCGUGGGGAGCAAACAGGAUUAGAUACCCUGGUAGUCCACGCCGUAAACGAUGAGUGCUAAGUGUUAGAGGGGUUUCCGCCCUUUANUGCUGCAGCUAACGCAUUAAGCACUCCGCCUGGGGAGUACGGUUCGCAAGACUUGAAACUCAAAGGAAUUUGACGGGGGGCCCCGCACAAGCGGUGGAACCAUGUUGGUUUUAAUUCGAAAGCAACCCGAAAAACC
RNAcentral lists this ribosomal RNA (945 nucleotides) under uncultured bacterium. RNAcentral's name for it is "bacterial SSU rRNA". It matches the Rfam family "Bacterial small subunit ribosomal RNA", at positions 54 to 970 of the family's 1533-position model. The record is from RNAcentral.